RNAcentral lists this long non-coding RNA (390 nucleotides) under Cyanistes caeruleus (blue tit). RNAcentral's name for it is "lncRNA (ENSCCEG00000017262.1)". The record is from RNAcentral. Lineage: Eukaryota; Metazoa; Chordata; Aves; Passeriformes; Paridae.
CCAAAGUCUAGCGAGAUCAGGGCAGGGCAGGAAGGACAAAUGAGGGCAGGGCGUGGAAAAAAAGCUGAAUUUUCGAUGUAAAACAUCAGGGCAGUGUUUUUUUCACCGUUUGCAUAAUUGAUUUCCCCAGGAAAAGGGAACCGAGGCACCGAACAGCUGCGGAAAUGACAAACAAAACCAAAAACUGCUCACAAAAAUCAGUGAGUCUCUGGUUCAGUCCUUGGUCCCAAAAAUCUGUUUUCCCCCAUUUUUCCUCUUUUCAGCCUUUUCUUUUCUUCCUUCUGGAAGCCACCACAGCCAAGAACUUCCCAACAUCCAUCUCCUUUUCCCUGGAAUAAUCCUGGAAUAAUCGGGAAUAAAUGGAUUUAUACCCCAGGAAUGGGAAUUGUU